CUUCUCUUUCCUCUUCUCUUCUCCUUCUUUUCCUUCUCUUUCCUCUUCUCCUUCUCUUUCCUCUUUUGAUCUGUCUCGGAAAUUUCUGGCACCUUCAGUGGUUUGAACGAGACCGACAACUUCUCCUUCACAAUCUAUAUUUCUCUUAGGUGGUGGUGGUAAAAAAUUUAUUGGUUUUUAAGGUCGAAUUUGACCAUGAAAACUCUAGAUAUAGACUUUUCAUGGUCGAAUUUGGCCUUAUUAAACCAAAUUUGAGGUGAACUUUGAAGUCAUUUCGGGGUUUGAGGUAUGUUUUCGUGUUUUUGGUGAUUUUUGGUUUCGUUUUGGUUGAUUUUCAUUUCGAUUUUUGUUGAUUUUGGUUGAUUUUUGUUGUUUGUUUUUAGCAUGGUUUAUUUUAGUAGGUUUGAUAUUCGUUAAUUAUUGGGUUUGAUUUUCGGGUAAUUUUUGGGUAAUUUUUCUGUUUGAUUUUCAUUAAUUUUUGGGUUAGAUUUUCGAGGCGAAAUCGUUUGAUUUUUUUUUUUUAUUUAUGGAUUUGAUUUUCGUUAAUUUUAGUGGGUUUAAUUUUGUUUGAUUUUCAUGUUCGAAUUUUCGUUAAUUAUGUUUAGGGGUGGCUUUUGUGGUGGCUGAUUGGGGUUUUCGGUAGGGCUGAGCAAAAAUAUCUAAAAAACCGAAAACCCGAAAAUCCGUACCGUAACCGUUCCGAAUAAUUGGGUACCCGAACCGUUUAAAGAAUUCGGGACGGGUAACUUAACCGAUAAGAAAUUAAUGGGUCGGAUAUCGGGUACCCGGAAAUUAAAAAUGCUAAAUAAAAGUAUGAAACCCGUGUUUUGUUAAAAAAAAAAAAAAAGGAUUUCUAAUUUCUCGUUUUUUUUUUCUCAUUUCUGAUUUCUCACUCAGCCUCCAUCCCACUUUCUCUCUCCUCUUCCUCUUCCUCCUCCCUUCUUCCUCACUCACCCACUCAUUCAUCAAAUUUCUGGGCGACAUUCUGGGCAGCGAAUUCAGCAACAACCUAGCAACAACGAUCUCAGGGGAAGCUAAACUCGGUAAUGGAGGAACCGAGGUGGUUGUAGCUCUCGGUUUGCUACGAAACAGGCUGGAAUUUCGUUGAGUUGAAAGUUGUAAUUUGGGGGAAAGUUUCUGGGCUGGUUUUAGUUGAAGUAAAUCAGCAAGAAUAAGAGGUUGAACUGAAAGACAUCGCAAGGGAUCUGAAGAGAAGAACCAAGAUAGAAACUGCGGUGGAGCAGUAGCUUGUUUGUGGGCCUGUUCGUGGCUGUUUCUCAUUCUCCAAUUUUCACUCAAGAAAAAUUGGAUUUUGCCUAACUGGUCGCAUUUGCAACCCGAGUUUAGCUGGGAGCGUAUUGAAGAUUAUUAUGAACUUGACAUCAUCUCAUAUUCCCAAGCUUGAGGUUGUAUUUUGCAUGAGAAUAUUGUGGAAAUUACUUAAGCCCCAACCUGGCCGUGGCUUGUAACAACAACCUUGACCAGGUCAUGGCUCCUCUAUUUGUGCUCAAGCAAAAUACACCAAUGCAGUCUACACCACAGGCAGACCAUGGCUUGACUUCAGUGGCAACGGGUAGGUCGUGGCUAGCUUCUGUGCAGCGUUUUGGAUCGAUAUUCUGCCGACUUUUAUUAAGACUUCUAAUCCUAGUUAACUUCCCUAAUAUCCAUGAUUAUAAAAUACUCUUUGUUUAGGGCUUAAGACAGGAGGGAGAACAACGGUUUGUUUAGCAUAGGAGGUGUGGUUUCCAGCCACCAUUAUAUCAGACUUUACUUUUAGUUUUGUAAAUUUUAACUUUAUUUCGUUCUUCUCAAAUUCACUUUGAUCCUUUUUUGAUUUUAA
This is a long non-coding RNA of Chenopodium quinoa (quinoa), 1840 nucleotides long. RefSeq lists it as uncharacterized. The transcript has 2 exons. The record is from RefSeq and is a predicted model, not a curated record. Lineage: Eukaryota; Viridiplantae; Streptophyta; Magnoliopsida; Caryophyllales; Amaranthaceae.